RNAcentral lists this ribosomal RNA (495 nucleotides) under uncultured bacterium. Its description in RNAcentral is "partial 16S ribosomal RNA". It matches the Rfam family "Bacterial small subunit ribosomal RNA", at positions 28 to 505 of the family's 1533-position model. The record is from RNAcentral.
GAUGAACGCUGGCGGCGUGCCUAAUACAUGCAAGUCGAGCGAACGGACGAGAAGCUUGCUUCUCUGAUGUUAGCGGCGGACGGGUGAGUAACACGUGGAUAACCUACCUAUAAGACUGGGAUAACUUCGGGAAACCGGAGCUAAUACCGGGUAAUAUUUUGAACCGCAUGGUUCAAAAGUGAAAGACGGUCCUGCUGUCACUUAUAGAUGGAUCCGCGCUGCAUUAGCUAGUUGGUAAGGUAACGGCUUACCAAGGCAACGAUGCAUAGCCGACCUGAGAGGGUGAUCGGCCACACUGGAACUGAGACACGGUCCAGACUCCUACGGGAGGCAGCAGUAGGGAAUCUUCCGCAAUGGGCGAAAGCCUGACGGAGCAACGCCGCGUGAGUGAUGAAGGUCUUCGGAUCGUAAAACUCUGUUAUUAGGGAAGAACAUAUGUGUAAGUAACUGUGCACAUCUUGACGGUACCUAAUCAGAAAGCCACGGCUAACUACG